RNAcentral lists this transfer RNA (76 nucleotides) under Delma australis (marble-faced Delma). Its description in RNAcentral is "tRNA-Trp". It matches the Rfam family "tRNA". From Rfam's summary of the family: Transfer RNA (tRNA) molecules are approximately 80 nucleotides in length. Their secondary structure includes four short double-helical elements and three loops (D, anti-codon, and T loops). Further hydrogen bonds mediate the characteristic L-shaped molecular structure. tRNAs have two regions of fundamental functional importance: the anti-codon, which is responsible for specific mRNA codon recognition, and the 3' end, to which the tRNAs corresponding amino acid is attached (by aminoacyl-tRNA synthetases). tRNAs cope with the degeneracy of the genetic code in two manners: having more than one tRNA (with a specific anti-codon) for a particular amino acid; and 'wobble' base-pairing, i.e. permitting non-standard base-pairing at the 3rd anti-codon position. The record is from RNAcentral. Lineage: Eukaryota; Metazoa; Chordata; Lepidosauria; Squamata; Pygopodidae.
AGAAACUUAGGUUAACAUCAACCUAAACCAAGGACCUUCAAAGCCCAAAACAUGGGGUAAUAUCCCAUAGUUUCUG